RNAcentral lists this ribosomal RNA (300 nucleotides) under uncultured Thermomonas sp. RNAcentral describes it as "bacterial SSU rRNA". It matches the Rfam family "Bacterial small subunit ribosomal RNA", at positions 496 to 795 of the family's 1533-position model. The record is from RNAcentral. Lineage: Bacteria; Pseudomonadati; Pseudomonadota; Gammaproteobacteria; Lysobacterales; Lysobacteraceae.
GCUAACUUCGUGCCAGCAGCCGCGGUAAUACGAAGGGUGCAAGCGUUACUCGGAAUUACUGGGCGUAAAGCGUGCGUAGGUGGUUUGUUAAGUCUGAUGUGAAAGCCCUGGGCUCAACCUGGGAAUGGCACUGGAUACUGGCAAGCUAGAGUGUGGCAGAGGGUAGUGGAAUUCCUGGUGUAGCAGUGAAAUGCGUAGAGAUCAGGAGGAACAUCCGUGGCGAAGGCGACUGCCUGGGCCAACACUGACACUGAGGCACGAAAGCGUGGGGAGCAAACAGGAUUAGAUACCCCUGUAGUC